CCUACGGGAGGCUGCAGUGAGGAAUAUUGGUCAAUGGCCGGAAGGCUGAACCAGCCAUGCCGCGUGAAGGUCAGUGCCCUAUGGGCGUUAAACUUCUUUUGUGCGGGAGCAAUAAUGGUCACGUGUGGCCAUACGAGGGUACCGUUCGAAUAAGCAUCGGCUAACUACGUGCCAGCAGCCGCGGUAAUACGGGGGGUGUAAGCGUUAUCCGGAUUUAUGGGGUUUAAAUGGUGCGUAGGCUGUGAGGUAAGUCAGCGGGGAAAUGCCCCGGCUCAACGGGGUGAAGUGCCAUUGAUACUGCCUUGCUGGAGUGCGGAUGAAGUGGGAGGAAUGUGUGGUGUAGCGGUGAAAUGCAUAGAUAUCACGCAGAACACCGAUUGCGAAGGCAUCUCACGAAUCCGCGAUUGACGCUGAUGCACGAAAGCGUGGGUAUCAAACAGGAUUAGAUACCCUGGUAGUC
RNAcentral lists this ribosomal RNA (460 nucleotides) under uncultured bacterium. RNAcentral describes it as "partial 16S ribosomal RNA". It matches the Rfam family "Bacterial small subunit ribosomal RNA", at positions 338 to 795 of the family's 1533-position model. The record is from RNAcentral.